This 450-nucleotide ribosomal RNA is filed under the name Triticum aestivum (bread wheat). RNAcentral describes it as "partial small subunit ribosomal RNA". Lineage: Eukaryota; Viridiplantae; Streptophyta; Magnoliopsida; Poales; Poaceae. The record is from RNAcentral.
AUGGAUUGGCCGGUGCUGCCGGCUGGUGUCAAGUUCGAUCCCACGGAUCAGAAGCUGAUCGAGCACCUUGAGGCCAAAGUGAGUGCUGACAGCGUGAGAUUUCAGUCUCUCAUCGAUUUGUUCAUACCAACCAUCGACAACGAGCACAGCAUAUGCUACACCCAACCUGAGAAACUUCCAGGUAUCACACUGAGUGGCCUAAGGAAGCAAUUCUUCCAGCGCAAUUCCAGGGCGUUCAAAAUGGGCACGUGGACACGUCGCAAGAUACAGUCGGAGUGCGGCAUGCACGCGAUGUGGCCCAAGACCGGCAAUACCUUGCCGGUGAUGGUCAACGGCCGGCAGACGGGCAGCAAAAAAGGUUCUGGUGCUGCACACCAACAAGAACUUCGACCAACAGACGACCAACUGGGUGAUGCACCAGUACCACCUCGGGGACCUGGAGCAAGAUAA